ACUUUUCUCUAAAGUGAAGUGUCUCUCAUUUAUUCGGUGUCAUUAUUUAAGUGCAGUUUAAAACAAUGGGGAAACUAGACUCAAAGCUUAGGAAAGGAAGGAUUUCAAACCAUGUAGUUUCAGACCUGAUUUAGUAAUGUGGUCUGAAAACGCGCCCAAAGAAGGAAUGAAAUGCGUCCUUAUGGUCUAAGGCGGAGUAUUCGAUGUCCUAAGAAAUAUGGUGACACUAUUAAAGAGAGGAAAUACAU
Long non-coding RNA from Micropterus salmoides (largemouth bass), 248 nucleotides. RefSeq lists it as uncharacterized. The record is from RefSeq and is a predicted model, not a curated record. NCBI's taxonomy places the organism in Eukaryota, Metazoa, Chordata, Actinopteri, Centrarchiformes, Centrarchidae. The transcript is spliced from 2 exons.